UGCCAGCCGCCGCGGUAAUACGGAGGGUGCAAGCGUUAAUCGGAAUUACUGGGCGUAAAGAGUACGUAGGCGGCUUUUCAAGUCGGAUGUGAAAGCCCUGAGCUUAACUCAGGAACUGCAUUCGAUACUGGAUCGCUAGAGUAUAUUAGAGGAUAGUGGAAUUUCAAGUGUAGCGGUGAAAUGCGUAGAUAUUCGGAGGAACACUAAUUGCGAAGGCAGUUCACUGGACCGUGAUCGACGCUGAGGAGCGAAAGCUAGGGGAGCAAACAGGAUUAGAUA
Molecule: ribosomal RNA, 279 nt
Filed under: uncultured bacterium
Lineage: Bacteria
Description: partial 16S ribosomal RNA
Rfam family: Bacterial small subunit ribosomal RNA
Source: RNAcentral